CUAGGAAAGCAUGAGGCCCUAUGUACUCGUGUGCAUUAACCCCCAAGAUGGUGUCGGAGGAGGCAGAGCACAAACCCAACUGUGAAGGAGAUUGGAGCUGGAAUCGAGUGAGUACACAACGGGUUUUUAUUAAGACUUUUAAUGCCAGGGAGGGCGCGAAAGAACUAUAGUGUGAGGAAUACAGAUUUAGAAUCCCUUUAACUGCAAUGCUUGAUUUUUCAUGCUUCCAGAUUGUGGAGCAGAUACCACUUAUCACAC
Non-coding RNA from Pelobates cultripes (western spadefoot toad), 258 nucleotides. NCBI's taxonomy places the organism in Eukaryota, Metazoa, Chordata, Amphibia, Anura, Pelobatidae. The record is from the annotation of a GenBank genome assembly.